Triticum urartu is the source of this 88-nucleotide non-coding RNA. The record is from Rfam. Lineage: Eukaryota; Viridiplantae; Streptophyta; Magnoliopsida; Poales; Poaceae.
GGAGAGAUGGCUGAGUGGACUAAAGCGGCGGAUUACUAAUCCGUUGUACAAUUGUUUUGUACCAAGGAUUCCAAUCCCUCUCUUUCUG